Molecule: small nucleolar RNA, 93 nt
Organism: Hevea brasiliensis (rubber tree)
Lineage: Eukaryota; Viridiplantae; Streptophyta; Magnoliopsida; Malpighiales; Euphorbiaceae
Product: small nucleolar RNA snoR31/Z110/Z27
Exons: 1
Source: RefSeq, a predicted model, not a curated record
UCGUCAAGAUGAUGAAAUCAGGAAAUCUUAGGACACCUUCUGACACAGUAGGAUGCUGUGUAUGAGAAAAAGAUUUUCGUUUCUGAUAUUUGA